RNAcentral lists this unclassified non-coding RNA (360 nucleotides) under soil metagenome. RNAcentral's name for it is "partial contains 5.8S ribosomal RNA, internal transcribed spacer 2, and large subunit ribosomal RNA". The stretch from base 1 to 120 matches the Rfam family "5.8S ribosomal RNA", at positions 35 to 154 of the family's 154-position model. The record is from RNAcentral.
GAUGAAGAACGUAACGAAAUGCGAUAAGUAAUGCGAAUUGCAGAAUUCAGUGAAUCAUCGAAUCUUUGAACGCACAUUGCGCCCGCCAGUAUUCUGGCGGGCAUGCCUGUCUGAGCGUCGUUUCGACCCUCGCGCCCGGCUUCUGUCGGGGGCGGUGUUGGGGAUCGGCCACACCCUUCAGUGGGAGGCCGGCCCCUAAAUUCAGUGGCGACCACGCUGUAGCCUCCCCUGCGUAGUACUAAAACCACCUCGCAGGCGGAGAGCGGUGCGGCCCGCCGUAAAACCCCCCAACUUUUACAAGGUCGACCUCAGAUCAGGUAGGAAUACCCGCUGAACUUAAGCAUAUCAAUAAGCGGAGGA